This 253-nucleotide ribosomal RNA is filed under the name uncultured Legionella sp. RNAcentral's name for it is "partial 16S ribosomal RNA". It matches the Rfam family "Bacterial small subunit ribosomal RNA", at positions 524 to 776 of the family's 1533-position model. Lineage: Bacteria; Pseudomonadati; Pseudomonadota; Gammaproteobacteria; Legionellales; Legionellaceae. The record is from RNAcentral.
UACGGAGGGUGCGAGCGUUAAUCGGAAUUACUGGGCGUAAAGGGUGCGUAGGUGGUGAUAUAAGUUAUCUGUGAAAUUCCUGGGCUUAACCUGGGGUGGUCAGAUAAUACUGUGUUACUUGAGUAUAGGAGAGGGUAGUGGAAUUUCCGGUGUAGCGGUGAAAUGCGUAGAGAUCGGAAGGAACACCGGUGGCGAAGGCGGCUGCCUGGCCUAAUACUGACACUGAGGCACGAAAGCGUGGGGAGCAAACAGG